GGAGUUAGCCGGUGCUUCUUCUGUGAGUGAUGUCCUUCCUGCCGGCUAUUAACCCGCAGGCCUUCUUCCUCACUGAAAGUGCUUUACAACCCGAAGGCCUUCUUCACACACGCGGCAUGGCUGGAUCAGGGUUGCCCCCAUUGUCCAAUAUUCCCCACUGCUGCCUCCCGUAGGAGUCUGGGCCGUGUCUCAGUCCCAGUGUGGCUGAUCAUCCUCUCAGACCAGCUACGGAUCGUCGCCUUGGUGAGCCGUUACCUCACCAACCAGCUAAUCCGACAUAGGCUCAUCCGAUAGCGCGAUGCCCGAAGGUCCCCCGCUUUCCCCCGUAGGGCGUAUGCGGUAUUAGCCUGGGUUUCCCCAGGUUAUCCCCCACUACCGGGCAGAUUCCUAUGCAUUACUCACCCGUCCGCCGCUCGCCACCAGGGAGCAAGCUCCCCGUGCUGCCGCUCGACUUGCAUGUGUUAGGCCUGCCGCCAGCGUUCAAUCUGAGCCAUAAUCAAACUCUGA
This 507-nucleotide ribosomal RNA is filed under the name uncultured bacterium. RNAcentral's name for it is "partial 16S ribosomal RNA". The record is from RNAcentral.